GGGUGAGUAACACGUGGGUAACCUGCCCAAGAGACUGGGAUAACACCUGGAAACAGAUGCUAAUACCGGAUAACAACACUAGACGCAUGUCUAGAGUUUGAAAGAUGGUUCUGCUAUCACUCUUGGAUGGACCUGCGGUGCAUUAGCUAGUUGGUAAGGUAACGGCUUACCAAGGCAAUGAUGCAUAGCCGAGUUGAGAGACUGACCGGCCACAUUGGGACUGAGACACGGCCCAAACUCCUACGGGAGGCAGCAGUAGGGAAUCUUCCACAAUGGACGAAAGUCUGAUGGAGCAACGCCGCGUGAGUGAAGAAGGGUUUCGGCUCGUAAAGCUCUGUUGGUAGUGAAGAAAGAUAGAGGUAGUAACUGGCCUUUAUUUGACGGUAAUUACUUAGAAAGUCACGGCUAACUACGUGCCAGCAGCCGCGGUAAUACGUAGGUGGCAAGCGUUGUCCGGAUUUAUUGGGCGUAAAGCGAGUGCAGGCGGUUCAAUAAGUCUGAUGUGAAAGCCUUCGGCUCAACCGGAGAAUUGCAUCAGAAACUGUUGAACUUGAGUGCAGAAGAGGAGAGUGGAACUCCAUGUGUAGCGGUGGAAUGCGUAGAUAUAUGGAAGAACACCAGUGGCGAAGGCGGCUCUCUGGUCUGCAACUGACGCUGAGGCUCGAAAGCAUGGGUAGCGAACAGGAUUAGAUACCCUGGUAGUCCAUGCCGUAAACGAU
RNAcentral lists this ribosomal RNA (719 nucleotides) under uncultured bacterium. RNAcentral's name for it is "bacterial SSU rRNA". It matches the Rfam family "Bacterial small subunit ribosomal RNA", at positions 104 to 810 of the family's 1533-position model. The record is from RNAcentral.